GGCAACGUGACGGAGUGGUUAACGUGAUUGACUAGAAUUGUCUCUAGCUUAUCAAUUUCCUUCGGGAGCGUCUGUUCGAAUCAGGCCGUUGUCG
RNAcentral lists this transfer RNA (94 nucleotides) under Xylariaceae sp. FL1019. RNAcentral's name for it is "tRNA-Ser". It matches the Rfam family "tRNA". From Rfam's summary of the family: Transfer RNA (tRNA) molecules are approximately 80 nucleotides in length. Their secondary structure includes four short double-helical elements and three loops (D, anti-codon, and T loops). Further hydrogen bonds mediate the characteristic L-shaped molecular structure. tRNAs have two regions of fundamental functional importance: the anti-codon, which is responsible for specific mRNA codon recognition, and the 3' end, to which the tRNAs corresponding amino acid is attached (by aminoacyl-tRNA synthetases). tRNAs cope with the degeneracy of the genetic code in two manners: having more than one tRNA (with a specific anti-codon) for a particular amino acid; and 'wobble' base-pairing, i.e. permitting non-standard base-pairing at the 3rd anti-codon position. RNAcentral also lists the same sequence under 1 other name. The record is from RNAcentral. Lineage: Eukaryota; Fungi; Ascomycota; Sordariomycetes; Xylariales; Xylariaceae.